AUGGUGAGGAAGCCGACAAGGAAGUGGGCAGGAAUGAAUCCCUGGCCUCAGCCUGGCUCUGAAGUGUCAGGAGCUAAUAGAUUACCUUCUGCUUGUUCUCAGGCCACUGCUGACUACUCACUGGCUAUAUUGCCAUCCCCUUUUUCAAAUAAUGUGCUCUUCAGGCAACUCCAGAUGCUCUACUCUUUCUUCUCCUAUAUCAGAAGACAGCAGCUUCCCUCCAGAUGCCUUCCAUCUUCCCAGGAAACUGCUAGUUGCAGGAAACCCUACUUAGUGCUGGGUCAAGGCAGGAGAGGGUAAUGAAUGGAAGAGUUGGGUGUCUGCCUUGCCCUGAAGUUUAUAUUCUAGCAGAAUGUAAUUAUUUUACCACAACAAGAAUAUUGAUAUAACAACUACCAUUGACCACUUACCUAGUUCAGGUGCUGGACUAAACUCUCCACCCCGCCAUCUCCUA
This 454-nucleotide long non-coding RNA is filed under the name Fukomys damarensis (Damara mole-rat). RNAcentral describes it as "lncRNA (ENSFDAG00000028229.1)". Lineage: Eukaryota; Metazoa; Chordata; Mammalia; Rodentia; Bathyergidae. The record is from RNAcentral.